RNAcentral lists this ribosomal RNA (200 nucleotides) under uncultured bacterium. RNAcentral describes it as "partial 16S ribosomal RNA". It matches the Rfam family "Bacterial small subunit ribosomal RNA", at positions 8 to 234 of the family's 1533-position model. The record is from RNAcentral.
AGAGUUUGAUCCUGGCUCAGGACGAACGCUGGCGGCAUGCCUAACACAUGCAAGUCGAACGCGGGGCUUCGGCCCUGAGUGGCGCACGGGUGAGUAACGCGUGGGAACCUGCCCUUUGGUUCGGGAUAACUGCGGGAAACUGCGGCUAAUACCGGAUGUCCCCCAUGGGGGAAAGAUUUAUCGCCGAAGGAGGGGCCCGC